CGGGUGAGUAACGCGUGGUCAACCUUCCCUACAGUGGGGGAUAACUAGCCGAAAGGUUAGCUAAUACCGCAUGACAUCUUCGAGAGACAUCUUUUGAAGAUAAAAGGAGCAAUCCGCUGAAGGACGGGACCGCGUCCCAUUAGCUAGUUGGUGGGGUAAUGGCCUACCAAGGCAACGAUGGGUAGCUGGUUUGAGAGAGCGACCAGCCACACUGGGACUGAGACACGGCCCAG
RNAcentral lists this ribosomal RNA (233 nucleotides) under uncultured bacterium. RNAcentral describes it as "partial 16S ribosomal RNA". It matches the Rfam family "Bacterial small subunit ribosomal RNA", at positions 103 to 334 of the family's 1533-position model. The record is from RNAcentral.